UCAGCAAUGGGUUUUGUCCCAGGCCUGGAUAGCUAUUCUAUCUGCAGGGAUCUGGCUGCCCAAACGUGAAGAGGCAAUGCACGGAAAGGAAGAACGUGCAUAGGCCUGCAGCUUUGGGGAGAUGCACAUGGUACCUGCCAGCAUCCUCAAGAGAUCCCCUCUCCACCUGAUCAUCAGAGGGAGCAGGUCUGAGCCCCAUCACCCCCAGCCCUGCCAGCUGGGUCCUCGGGAAAGCAAGCAAGAACGCAAUGCUUUUUUGAGGUUCAUGGAGGAACUGAGCUCUCAUCACUUCCUGUGGGCCUUCCUGAGCACAAGAUCCUCUCUCUUGCAUCAGCCAACCCAGGAGCUGCUGAUAAACCACUCCACAAGCUUGAGCCAGAGUUAAUGUUACCCAUUGACCACCCACUGAGCACUUGCUGUGUGCUAAGCAUUAUCUCAUUAAGCCCUCACCACAUUCCUGCAAGGUUUGCCUCUGGAAGGUGGAACCUAGCUUACUCCUGCAGCCUGCUGAAGACCUGUGCUCCAGGGGCCAGGAAUGGAUGGGGCAGGUGCGGAUGGGCCGGUGGACGAAGCAACAGCCGCAGCCGCAGCGCGGAGACAAAGUCACAUGUCAGAGAAGCAUGCUCAUGCCUGGCUCCCUCCAGGAUCACUGAUGCCUCCUGGAAAUACACAGAAGUUCUGGACCAGCCUUGGCAAUGAAGCGGUAUGGCCGGUGAUGGCAGGCAAAUCCUUCUAGUCCUGUGAACUCGGACACCCUCGUUUGCAGUAUGGAGACAAUGUUGUCCUUACCCAGUCACAAAGCGAAUCCAGACCUCGUGCCCGGACAUAGUGGCAGCUGGAACUGUUUCCUACACCCUUGGAUUCCCAGAUCUGAGGUUUUUACUCUGCAGCCCAUUCAAGGACAGAGCGGCAGCUGUUGUCGGAAACAAACAACGGAGCUAUUUCCAGAUCGUUGUCUCCAGUGCCCAGGGCUCCUGGUAAGGAGAGGGGAUCUCCAGAAACAGUGAACAGAGACCGUGUCUUCUUCACUGAGCUCCACAAAUAUCACAACGUGUCUUCUUUUCCUGCAAUGUGCCCAAUGCCUGAAGCCAGCGGUGUUCACUAAUUGGGAGCUGCUGUCCUUAUAACUCACAGAUGAUGGUACUCAGCUUCCUCCCUGACCACAAGCCCAAAAUUGCCUGGUUGAGCAUCCCAGAGUCUGUGCCAGCCUGAGAAUGGGCUGUGGCUUGGGGGAUAUUUUGCACUGGCAUCCAGGAACCCCAUAGACCUCUGUGAAUCACGGCCCCCUGCUUCACAGUCUAAAUAGAAGCACCCGCUCUGCUGUGUACAGACUGCGGCUUCCCCCACGCCGGGACAGUGAUGCUGGCAUUGACUUGGAGAGGCUGACAUGUAAACCAAAGGAAGACAAAGGAGAACCAAGAAUGGAUGAAAGCAGAUAGAAGAAAGGUGUGAAGGUGAUAGCGGAGGCACACUGCACUCACAGGGAGGCAGGACAUGACGGGGGCACGGGCAUGAAGGACAGGGGUCUGGGUUCACCAUGGCUCUCCUCCUCGUGAGUGUGUGAUUUGGGACAUUGAGGUUUACUUUUCCUAUUUGUACAAAUGAAGACACUAUGAGCUCCUCCAUCAGAAGUUGGCAUUUAGAGAGAUGUAAUGGGGUGCUGUGGUGAAACACACUGCCUUGCUCACAAGUGCUCAAUAAAAUGUAUCUGUAAUCCUGA
Peromyscus leucopus (white-footed mouse) is the source of this 1720-nucleotide long non-coding RNA. RefSeq lists it as uncharacterized. The transcript is spliced from 4 exons. The record is from RefSeq and is a predicted model, not a curated record. Lineage: Eukaryota; Metazoa; Chordata; Mammalia; Rodentia; Cricetidae.